Oxyura jamaicensis (ruddy duck) is the source of this 1180-nucleotide long non-coding RNA. RefSeq lists it as uncharacterized. The record is from RefSeq and is a predicted model, not a curated record. The transcript has 4 exons. NCBI's taxonomy places the organism in Eukaryota, Metazoa, Chordata, Aves, Anseriformes, Anatidae.
UCUGGCAUUUUGAUAGUCUUGGUCUUGUAAAGUCUGUCCUUCUAUUUAAACAAUGGCUGACUAGCCUGUGGCUCAUGUGCCUCAUGUGGCUCAGGCGCAGCUCACUUACUAGCACUGUGUCUCAGAGCUGUGCGGAUGCAGGGCUGCUGCCCAGCCUCAUUGCUCCUGAGGAGUUAUCCCACACUGAGGAGAAAGUGAUUUGAGGACAGAGAAGCUCUCCCAAACUGCUCUCAAAUUUUCUGACCUGGAAGAGUGACAGCUCCUUAUUUCAAGCCUUAAGGUGUUCUCUCUGAAUCCUCAGCCGCAAUGGCUUUCUGCCAAAGAGGUGCUCCCAGUGGAAAUAGGUUGGGACAUUAUCACUGCAAAUAAUGCAGUUCUGAAGUUCAUCUGGUUGGUUAACAGUGCAGGAUGAUAACUUCUGGCAGUUUCUCACCAUGUUUCUCCAAGCACAGAGGAUAUGAACUAUGAUAAAUGCUGGAAAACAUCAGACAGCUGUCAGGUAUGUUGACAGUGGGAAAUUGGGAAGGAGGGACUGUAUGCGUUAUGCACUGAAACUGAAUUUGUUCACACGAUGAUUUGCUCCAUUUAUAAUUAAAACUGAACUCAACCUAGAAGCUCUUUUUUUGCUCAGCUCUCACUUUCCAUUUAGUUUCUGCCUGGCAAAGAGGAGUUGAUGGUCCCCACACAGCCUCCCCUCUCUGCAUCCAGAGCCCUUCUGGUUAAGCCAAAAUGAUAUGCCAUUCACACUGAACUUGGCAGUAUUUUAUUAUUCCUUCUUCCUUACAUUUUUAUCAGCAGUGACACUGCUGCCAAGCCUUGUGCACCUCUGGAUAAUAUUUAUGCAAAUUAUUGACUAAGUUAUUUUUUACAUUUGCAAAUAUUUGCAUACAUCUGUACAAUUUAGCUUAAUAUAUGCACACUGAGCACUGGGGAAAGGCUCAGAAGCUAGGGGACAGAUGUCUAUUGCAGUCUGCCCACAGUAACCUUUUCCCAGCUCGCACUUUCUCUACAAAACAGGAAGCAAUACAAAAUGCCUUUCUCCAAAGGAAAGGCUAGGAAGCUUGGCUAUGCAGUGAGCACAGCAGAGAUGCAGAAGUGUUUUCAGCAGUAGGCGGGAAAGGGAGGAUCAAAAUAUGUGGUCAUUGCUACAAUACUGCUCACCUUCCUUUUGCUCUUUAAG